CCUACGGGAGGCAGCAGUGGGGGAUAUUGCACAAUGGGGGAAACCCUGAUGCAGCGACGCCGCGUGAGUGAAGAAGUAUUUCGGUAUGUAAAGCUCUAUCAGCAGGGAAGAAAAUGACGGUACCUGACUAAGAAGCCCCGGCUAACUACGUGCCAGCCGCCGCGGUAAU
Molecule: ribosomal RNA, 169 nt
Filed under: uncultured bacterium
Lineage: Bacteria
Description: partial 16S ribosomal RNA
Rfam family: Bacterial small subunit ribosomal RNA
Source: RNAcentral